RNAcentral lists this ribosomal RNA (470 nucleotides) under uncultured bacterium. Its description in RNAcentral is "bacterial SSU rRNA". It matches the Rfam family "Bacterial small subunit ribosomal RNA", at positions 335 to 803 of the family's 1533-position model. The record is from RNAcentral.
ACUCCUACGGGAGGCAGCAGUGGGGAAUAUUGCACAAUGGGGGAAACCCUGAUGCAGCCAUGCCGCGUGUGUGAAGAAGGCCUUCGGGUUGUAAAGCACUUUCAGUAGGGAGGAAGGUAGUGUAGUUAACACCUGCAUUAUUUGACGUUACCUACAGAAGAAGCACCGGCUAACUCCGUGCCAGCAGCCGCGGUAAUACGGAGGGUGCGAGCGUUAAUCGGAAUUACGUGGGUGUAAAGCGCAUGCAGGCGGCCUGUUAAGUCAGAUGUGAAAGCCCGGGGCUUAACCUCGGAAUUGCAUUUGAAACUGGCAGGCUAGAGUCUUGUAGAGGGGUUAGAAUUUCGAGGUGUAGCGGUGAAAUGCGUAGAGAUCUGAAGGAAUACCAGUGCGAAGCGGCCCCUGGACAAGACUGACGCUCAGAUGCGAAAGCGUGGGAGCAAACAGGAUUAGAUACCCCUGGUAGCGACUGA